CAGAAGUACCAUCCACAUAUAUCCACCCAUUCCAUCUCCAGAACCACCUAAAAAUAUUCUACUCCUAAUCCGGGAGAGAAUAACCAAAAAUAUUUUCUGUUUUCCCCUUGUGAAAUAAAUGCUCAAGUUAUCUUGUUACUACCACUUGCUAUAUUAUCUCAAGAGAUGAAUGCUCUAAAAAAAGAGAGAAAAUAAUACGAGGAAAUAAAAAGGAGCAAGUGCUCGGAACCUCGAAAGAAAAGAAAAAGUGAGACGAGAGGUAAGAAUGGACAAGUGUCCGACAGUAGAAUUAGGGGUGCAAGAUACCCACC
RNAcentral lists this long non-coding RNA (311 nucleotides) under Sorghum bicolor (sorghum). RNAcentral describes it as "long non-coding RNA (SBIC_LNC015647)". The record is from RNAcentral. Lineage: Eukaryota; Viridiplantae; Streptophyta; Magnoliopsida; Poales; Poaceae.